ACCAAGCGUCAAUAAGGGCAUCUGGUGGAUGCCUUGGCACUGAGAGGCGAUGAAGGACGUAGCACGCUGCGAUAAGCCAUGGGGAGGGGCGAGCGCCCGUUGAUCCGUGGAUUUCCGAAUGGGGAAACCCCGCCCGCAAGGGUGAUCGCCGACUGAAUACAUAGGUCGGCGAGGCGAACCCGGUGAACUGAAACAUCUCAGUAACCGGAGGAAAGGACAUCAACCGAGACUCCGUUAGUAGUGGCGAGCGAACGCGGACCAGGCCAGUGAUCGUGAGGCUCUAACCGGAACCGUCUGGAAAGUCGGACCGGAGUGGGUGACAGUCCCGUACGGGUAACGGGCCUUGCGAUACUCGAGUAGGGCGGGACACGUGUAAUCCUGUCUGAACGUAGGGGGACCACCCUCUAAGCCUAAGUACUCCUCAGUGACCGAUAGUGCACCAGUACCGUGAGGGAAAGGUGAAAAGCACCCCGAUGAGGGGAGUGAAACAGACCCUGAAACCGGAUGCCUACAAGCAGUCGGAGGUUGGAGGACAGAAGUCAGGAAUCAUGCGGCGCGGGAGCGAUCCUGGGCUUGGAUGAUGCUUGGCAUCUGGCUUCUGGUUGACGGCGUACCUUUUGUAUAAUGGGUCAGCGAGUUAGUCUUUGCAGCAAGCUUAAGCCGAUAGGUGAAGGCGUAGCGAAAGCGAGUCUGAAUAGGGCGAUGAGUUGCAGGGAUUAGACCCGAAACCGAGUGAUCUAGCCAUGGGCAGGUUGAAGGUGCAGUAACAUGUACUGGAGGACCGAACCCACUCCCGUUGAAAAGGUAGGGGAUGACCUGUGGUUAGGGGUGAAAGGCCAAUCAAACUCGGAAAUAGCUGGUUCUCCGCGAAAUCUAUUGAGGUAGAGCGUCGGGAUAGGACACCACCGGGGGUAGAGCACUGGAUGGGCUAGGGGGGCGCGAGCCUUACCAAACCUAACCAAACUCCGAAUACCGGUGAGUGAUUGCCCGGCAGGCAGACCAUGGGUGCUAAGGUCCGUGGUCGAGAGGGAAACAGCCCAGACCGCCAGCUAAGGUCCCCAAGUGGUGGCUAAGUGGGAAAGGAUGUGGGAAGGCCAAGACAGCCAGGAGGUUGGCUUAGAAGCAGCCAUCCUUUAAAGAAAGCGUAAUAGCUCACUGGUCUAGACAAGCCGUCCUGCGCCGAAAAUGUAUCGGGGCUCAAGCCACCCACCGAAGCUGCGGGAUCCGUAAGGAUCGGUAGCGGAGCGUUCCGUAAGCCUGUGAAGGUGAACCGCGAGGUUUGCUGGAGGUAUCGGAAGUGAGAAUGCUGACAUGAGUAGCGACAAUGCGGGCGAGAAACCCGCACGCCGAAAGUCCAAGGGUUCCUGCGCAAGGUUAAUCCGCGCAGGGUUAGCCGGCCCCUAAGGCGAGGGCGAAAGCCGUAGUCGAUGGGAACGGGGUGAAUAUUCCCCGGCCUGCUGGUGGUGACGAAGGCCAGGUUCCGUAUUCCCUUACUGGAUUGGGGAUGCGGCUGAGGUCUUCCAGGAAAUAGCCCCAGCAUAUAGACCGUACCCGAAACCGACACAGGUGGACUGGUAGAGUAUACCAAGGCGCUUGAGAGAACGAUGUUGAAGGAACUCGGCAAAUUGCUCCCGUAACUUCGGAAGAAGGGAGACCCUUGCUUGGGCAACCAGGUGGGGGUGGCACAGACCAGGGGGUGGCGACUGUUUAGCAAAAACACAGGGCUCUGCGAAGUCGACGAGACGACGUAUAGGGUCUGACGCCUGCCCGGUGCCGGAAGGUUAAGAGGAGGGGUUCACGCUCUGAAUCGAAGCCCCGGUAAACGGCGGCCGUAACUAUAACGGUCCUAAGGUAGCGAAAUUCCUUGUCGGGUAAGUUCCGACCUGCACGAAUGGCGUAACGACUUCCCCGCUGUCUCCAACAUCGGCUCAGCGAAAUUGAAUUCUCCGUGAAGAUGCGGAGUACCCGCGGUCAGACGGAAAGACCCCGUGCACCUUUACUACAGCUUUGCAGUGGUAUCGGCGAGUGGAUGUGUAGGAUAGGCGGGAGCCUAUGAAGCGGCGGCGCCAGCUGUCGUGGAGGCACCCUUGAAAUACCGCCCUUCCCCUUAUCGAUAUCUAACCGCGGCCCGUUAUCCGGGUCCGGGACCCUGCAUGGCGGGUAGUUUGACUGGGGCGGUCGCCUCCCAAAUGGUAACGGAGGCGCGCGAUGGUGGGCUCAAGCUGGUCGGACAUCAGCUGACGAGUGCAAUGGCAUAAGCCCGCCUGACUGUGAGACUGACAAGUCGAGCAGAGACGAAAGUCGGCCAUAGUGAUCCGGUGGUCCCUCGUGGAUGGGCCAUCGCUCAACGGAUAAAAGGUACGCCGGGGAUAACAGGCUGAUGACGCCCAAGAGUCCAUAUCGACGGCGUCGUUUGGCACCUCGAUGUCGGCUCAUCACAUCCUGGGGCUGGAGCAGGUCCCAAGGGUAUGGCUGUUCGCCAUUUAAAGUGGUACGUGAGCUGGGUUCAGAACGUCGUGAGACAGUUCGGUCCCUAUCUGCCGUGGGUGUCGGAUACUUGAGAGGAGCUGUCCUUAGUACGAGAGGACCGGGAUGGACGUACCUCUGGUGGACCGGUUGUGGCGCCAGCCGCAUAGCCGGGUAGCUAUGUACGGACGGGAUAACCGCUGAAAGCAUCUAAGCGGGAAGCCCCCCUCAAAACCAGGUAUCCCUGAGAGCCGUGACAGACCAUCACGUCGAUAGGCCGGAAGUAUAAGCGCGGCAACGCGUUCAGCGGACCGGUACUAAUCGCUCGAUCGGCUUGGUUCCAUGCAGACGACGGUCUGUGGCCGCCACGAAAGUGGC
This 2844-nucleotide ribosomal RNA is filed under the name Allostella humosa. RNAcentral's name for it is "bacterial LSU rRNA". It matches the Rfam family "Bacterial large subunit ribosomal RNA". Lineage: Bacteria; Pseudomonadati; Pseudomonadota; Alphaproteobacteria; Rhodospirillales; Allostellaceae. The record is from RNAcentral.